GCGCACGUGGCGGAAUUGGUAGACGCGCCAGCUUGAGGGGCUGGUGGAGGCAACUCUGUGGAAGUUCGAGUCUUCUCGUGCGCA
RNAcentral lists this transfer RNA (84 nucleotides) under Flavobacteriaceae bacterium. RNAcentral describes it as "tRNA-Leu". It matches the Rfam family "tRNA". From Rfam's summary of the family: Transfer RNA (tRNA) molecules are approximately 80 nucleotides in length. Their secondary structure includes four short double-helical elements and three loops (D, anti-codon, and T loops). Further hydrogen bonds mediate the characteristic L-shaped molecular structure. tRNAs have two regions of fundamental functional importance: the anti-codon, which is responsible for specific mRNA codon recognition, and the 3' end, to which the tRNAs corresponding amino acid is attached (by aminoacyl-tRNA synthetases). tRNAs cope with the degeneracy of the genetic code in two manners: having more than one tRNA (with a specific anti-codon) for a particular amino acid; and 'wobble' base-pairing, i.e. permitting non-standard base-pairing at the 3rd anti-codon position. Lineage: Bacteria; Pseudomonadati; Bacteroidota; Flavobacteriia; Flavobacteriales; Flavobacteriaceae. The record is from RNAcentral.